UGCAGAAUCCCGUGAACCAUCGAGUUUUUGAACGCAAGUUGCGCCCGAAGCCUUCUGGUUAAGGGCACGUCUGCCUGGGCGUCAUGC
RNAcentral lists this ribosomal RNA (87 nucleotides) under Dubautia arborea. RNAcentral's name for it is "partial 5.8S ribosomal RNA". It matches the Rfam family "5.8S ribosomal RNA", at positions 73 to 154 of the family's 154-position model. From Rfam's summary of the family: 5.8S ribosomal RNA (5.8S rRNA) is a component of the large subunit of the eukaryotic ribosome. It is transcribed by RNA polymerase I as part of the 45S precursor that also contains 18S and 28S rRNA. RNAcentral also lists the same sequence under 4 other names. Lineage: Eukaryota; Viridiplantae; Streptophyta; Magnoliopsida; Asterales; Asteraceae. The record is from RNAcentral.